This 253-nucleotide ribosomal RNA is filed under the name uncultured bacterium. RNAcentral's name for it is "partial 16S ribosomal RNA". It matches the Rfam family "Bacterial small subunit ribosomal RNA", at positions 524 to 776 of the family's 1533-position model. The record is from RNAcentral.
UACGGAGGGUGCAAGCGUUAAUCGGAAUUACUGGGCGUAAAGCGUGCGUAGGUGGUUCGUUAAGUCCGUUGUGAAAGCCCCGAGCUCAACUUGGGGAUUGCAGUGGAUACUGGCGAGCUAGAGUGCGGUAGAGGAAGGUGGAAUUCCCGGUGUAGCGGUGAAAUGCGUAGAGAUCGGGAGGAACACCAGUGGCGAAGGCGGCCUUCUGGACCAGCACUGACACUCAAGCACGAAAGCGUGGGGAGCAAACAGG